This 709-nucleotide ribosomal RNA is filed under the name uncultured bacterium. RNAcentral describes it as "bacterial SSU rRNA". It matches the Rfam family "Bacterial small subunit ribosomal RNA", at positions 92 to 787 of the family's 1533-position model. The record is from RNAcentral.
UCAGCGGCGGACGGGUGAGUAACACGUGGGCAACCUGCCUGUAAGACUGGAUAACUCCGGGAAACCGGGGCUAACACCGGAUAACAUCUUCCUCUGCAUAGAGGAAGAUUGAAAGAUGGCUUCUCGCUAUCACUUACAGAUGGGCCCGCGGCGCAUUAGCUAGUUGGUGAGGUAAGGGCUCACCAAGGCGACGAUGCGUAGCCGACCUGAGAGGGUGAUCGGCCACACUGGGACUGAGACACGGCCCAGACUCCUACGGGAGGCAACAGUAGGGAAUCUUCGGCAAUGGACGAAAGUCUGACCGAGCAACGCCGCGUGAGUGAGGAAGGCCUUCGGGUCGUAAAGCUCUGUUGUUAGGGAAGAACAAGUACCGUUCGAACAGGGCGGUACCUUGACGGUACCUAACCAGAAAGCCACGGCUAACUACGUGCCAGCAGCCGCGGUAAUACGUAGGUGGCAAGCGUUGUCCGGAAUUAUUGGGCGUAAAGCGCGCGCAGGCGGUCUCUUAAGUCUGAUGUGAAAGCCCACGGCUCAACCGUGGAGGGUCAUUGGAAACUGGGGGACUUGAGUACUGGAGAGGAGAGUGGAAUUCCAUGUGUAGCGGUGAAAUGCGUAGAUAUAUGGAGGAACACCAGUGGCGAAGGCGGCUCUCUGGCCAGUAACUGACGCUGAGGCGCGAAAGCGUGGGGAGCAAACAGGAUUAAUACCC